GACGAACGCUGGCGGCGUGCUUAACACAUGCAAGUCGAACGGAAAGGCCUUUUUCGGGGGGUCCUCGAGUGGCGAACGGGUGAGUAACACGUGAGUAACCCGCCCUCUACUUUUGGGUAACUUCAGGAAAAGGGGGCUAAUACCGGAUAGGAGCUCCGGCUGCAUGGUGGGGGUUGGAAAGUUUCGGCGGGUGGGGAUUGGCUCGCGGCUCUUCAGCUUGUUGGUGGGGUAGUGGCUUACCAAGGCUUUGGCGGGUAGCCGGCCAUGGAGGGUGAGCGGCCACACUGGGACUGAGAGACGGCCCAGGCGCCUAAGGGAGGCAGCAGGGGGGAAGAAUGGACAAUGGGUGGAAGGCGGAUGCAGCAACGCCGGGUGCGGGAAGGCGGCCUUCGGGUUGGAAAACGGUUUCGGUCUUGGAGAAGGUUUGUGUGACGGUAGUGGGUAAAGAAGCACCGGCUAACUACGUG
This 467-nucleotide ribosomal RNA is filed under the name uncultured bacterium. RNAcentral describes it as "partial 16S ribosomal RNA". It matches the Rfam family "Bacterial small subunit ribosomal RNA", at positions 28 to 507 of the family's 1533-position model. The record is from RNAcentral.